UAAUGGGUGAUGGCGUGCCUUUUGUAGAAUGAACCGGCGAGUUACGAUUUGAUGCAAGGUUAAGCAGUAAAUGUGGAGCCGUAGCGAAAGCGAGUCUGAAUAGGGCGUUUAGUAUUUGGUCGUAGACCCGAAACCAGGUGAUCUACCCUUGGUCAGGUUGAAGUUCAGGUAACACUGAAUGGAGGACCGAACCGACUUACGUUGAAAAGUGAGCGGAUGAACUGAGGGUAGCGGAGAAAUUCCAAUCGAACCUGGAGAUAGCUGGUUCUCUCCGAAAUAGCUUUAGGGCUAGCCUCAAGUGAUGAUUAUUGGAGGUAGAGCACUGUUUGGACGAGGGGCCCCUCUCGGGUUACCGAAUUCAGACA
This 365-nucleotide ribosomal RNA is filed under the name Staphylococcus aureus. RNAcentral describes it as "partial 23S ribosomal RNA". It matches the Rfam family "Bacterial large subunit ribosomal RNA", at positions 587 to 951 of the family's 2925-position model. The record is from RNAcentral. Lineage: Bacteria; Bacillati; Bacillota; Bacilli; Caryophanales; Staphylococcaceae.